This is a non-coding RNA of Trichobilharzia regenti, 46 nucleotides long. The record is from Rfam. NCBI's taxonomy places the organism in Eukaryota, Metazoa, Platyhelminthes, Trematoda, Strigeidida, Schistosomatidae.
GUACUGCUGAAGAGUCUCAAUCUAGGACGAAACUACUGUCCAGUAC